GAUGAAGAACGCAGCGAAAUGCGAUAAGUAAUGUGAAUUGCAGAAUUCAGUGAAUCAUCGAAUCUUUGAACGCACAUUGCGCCCCCUGGUAUUCCGGGGGGCAUGCCUGUCCGAGCGUCAUUACAAACCUCAAGCCCAGCUUGGUGUUGGGCCCCGCCGCCCCGGCGGGCCCUAAAGUCAGUGGCGGUGCCGUCCGGCUCCGAGCGUAGUAAUUCUUCUCGCUCUGGAGGUCCGGUCGUGUGCUCGCCAGCAACCCCCAAUUUUUUUCAGGUUGACCUCGGAUCAGGUAGGGAUACCCGCUGAACUUAAGCAUAUCAAUAAGCGGAGGA
This 329-nucleotide unclassified non-coding RNA is filed under the name soil metagenome. RNAcentral describes it as "partial contains 5.8S ribosomal RNA, internal transcribed spacer 2, and large subunit ribosomal RNA". The stretch from base 1 to 120 matches the Rfam family "5.8S ribosomal RNA", at positions 35 to 154 of the family's 154-position model. The record is from RNAcentral.